Molecule: small nuclear RNA, 104 nt
Organism: Microtus oregoni (creeping vole)
Lineage: Eukaryota; Metazoa; Chordata; Mammalia; Rodentia; Cricetidae
Source: RefSeq, a predicted model, not a curated record
GUGCUCGCUUUGGCAGCAUGUAUACUAAAAUUAAAACGAUACAGAGAUUAGCAUGGCCUCUGCACAAGGAUGAUAAGCAAAUUCGUGAAGCCUUCCAUAUUAAA